This 480-nucleotide ribosomal RNA is filed under the name uncultured bacterium. Its description in RNAcentral is "partial 16S ribosomal RNA". It matches the Rfam family "Bacterial small subunit ribosomal RNA", at positions 28 to 507 of the family's 1533-position model. The record is from RNAcentral.
GACGAACGCUGGCGGCGUGCUUAACACGUGCAAGUCGAACGAUGAAGAAAAGAAUCUAAGCUUCGGCAGAAAUUCAUUUCGGAUUAGUGGCAGACGGGUGAGUAACGCGUGAGCAACCUACCUCUUACAAAGGGAUAGCCUCUGGAAACCGGGAUUAAUACCAUAUAACAUUGUGACGAAGCAUUUCGAUGCAAUCAAAGCUACGGCGGUAAGAGAUGGGCUCGCGUCCCAUUAACCGGAUGGUGAGGUAACGGCUCACCAUAGUGACGAUGGGUAACCGGCGUGAGAGGGGGAAAGGUCACACUGGAACUGAGACACGGUCCAGACUCCUACGGGAGGCAGCAGUGGGGAAUAUUGCACAAUGGAGGGAACUCUGAUGCAGCGACGCCGCGUGAGUGAUGAAGGAAUUCGUUUCGUAAAACUCUGUUCUAUGGGAAGAAAAGGACUGUACCAUAGGAGAAAGCUCCGGCUAAAUACGUG